Molecule: ribosomal RNA, 892 nt
Filed under: uncultured bacterium
Lineage: Bacteria
Description: bacterial SSU rRNA
Rfam family: Bacterial small subunit ribosomal RNA
Source: RNAcentral
AGAGUUUGAUCCUGGCUCAGGACGAACGCUGGCGGCGUGCCUAACACAUGCAAGUCGAGCGGGGAACCCCUUCGGGGGUUUUCAGCGGCGGACGGGUGAGUAACGCGUGAGCAACCUUUCCUUCACAGGGGGAUAACGCAGCGAAAGCUGUGCUAAUACCGCUUAAGACCACAACGUCGCAUGGCGAAGGGGUCAAAGGAGUAAUCCGGUGAAGGGUGGGCUCGCGUCUGAUUAGCUAGUUGGCGGGGUAACGGCCCACCAAGGCAACGAUCAGUAGCCGACCUGAGAGGGUGAUCGGCCACACUGGGACUGAGACACGGCCCAGACUCCUACGGGAGGCAGCAGUGGGGAAUAUUGGGCAAUGGGGGAAACCCUGACCCAGCAACGCCGCGUGAGGGAAGAAGGUUUUCGGAUCGUAAACCUCUGUCCUCAGGGACGAAUAGAUGACGGUACCUGAGGAGGAAGCCCCGGCUAACUACGUGCCAGCAGCCGCGGUAAUACGUAGGGGGCAAGCGUUGUCCGGAAUGAUUGGGCGUAAAGGGCGCGUAGGCGGCCUGUUAAGUCUGGAGUGAAAGUCCUGCUUUCAAGGUGGGAAUUGCUUUGGAAACUGGCGGGCUGGAGUGCAGGAGAGGUUAGCGGAAUUCCCGGUGUAGCGGUGAAAUGCGUAGAGAUCGGGAGGAACACCAGUGGCGAAGGCGGCUAACUGGACUGUAACUGACGCUGAAGCGCGAAAGUGUGGGGAGCAAACAGGAUUAGAUACCCUGGUAGUCCACACGGUAAACGAUGAAUGCUAGGUGUAGGGGGUAUCGACCCCUUCUGUGCCGGAGUAAACACAAUAAGCAUUCCGCCUGGGGAGUACGGCCGCAAGGUUGAAACUUAAAUGAAUUGACGG